This 718-nucleotide ribosomal RNA is filed under the name Alectoris chukar (chukar partridge). Its description in RNAcentral is "partial 12S ribosomal RNA". It matches the Rfam family "Bacterial small subunit ribosomal RNA", at positions 495 to 1509 of the family's 1533-position model. Lineage: Eukaryota; Metazoa; Chordata; Aves; Galliformes; Phasianidae. The record is from RNAcentral.
GGUAAAUCUCGUGCCAGCCACCGCGGUCAUACAAGAAACCCAAAUUAAUAGCCAUCCGGCGUAAAGAGUGGCCACAUGUUAUCCGCAUUAACUAAGAUCAAAACGAAACUGAGCUGUCAUAAGCCCAAGACUCACCUAAGCCCGACCUAAAAACCAUCUUAGUUCCCACGACCAAUUUAAACCCACGAAAGCCAGGACACAAACUGGGAUUAGAUACCCCACUAUGCCUGGCCUUAAAUCUUGAUAUCCCAUUACCAAUAUAUCCGCCCGAGAACUACGAGCACAAACGCUUAAAACUCUAAGGACUUGGCGGUGCCCCAAACCCACCUAGAGGAGCCUGUUCUAUAAUCGAUAAUCCACGAUUCACCCAACCAUCCUUUGCCAACACAGCCUACAUACCGCCGUCGCCAGCUCACCUCCAAUGAAAGAGCAACAGUGAGCCCAACAGUCUCCACUAAUAAGACAGGUCAAGGUAUAGCCCAUGGGAUGGAAGAAAUGGGCUACAUUUUCUAACAUAGAACAAACGGAAAAGGACAUGAAAACCGGUCCUAAGAAGGAGGAUUUAGCAGUAAGAUGAGAUCAUCCCCAGCUCACCUUAAGACGGCCCUGGGGCACGUACAUACCGCCCGUCACCCUCUUCAAUAAGCCACUAACACCAAUAAAUAAUACCCGCCCCGGCUAAAGACGAGGUAAGUCGUAACAAGGUAAGCAUACUGGA